This 253-nucleotide ribosomal RNA is filed under the name uncultured bacterium. RNAcentral's name for it is "partial 16S ribosomal RNA". It matches the Rfam family "Bacterial small subunit ribosomal RNA", at positions 524 to 776 of the family's 1533-position model. The record is from RNAcentral.
UACGGAGGGUGCAAGCGUUAUCCGGAUUCACUGGGUUUAAAGGGUGCGUAGGCGGGCUUGUAAGUCAGUGGUGAAAGCCCGGAGCUUAACUCCGGAAUUGCCGUUGAUACUGCAAGUCUUGAGUACAGUUGAGGUGGGCGGUAUACAUCAUGUAGUAGUGAAAUACUUAGAUAUGAUGUAGAACACCGAUUGCGAAGGCAGCUCACUAAAGUGUAACUGACGCUGAGGCACGAAAGCGUGGGGAUCAAACAGG